CUAGGCCAAAACAGGACACUGGCGACGAAAUCUAGCGACGAAAAUAUGGUAUUUGCGACGAAAUAUCAAUAAUUGCGACGAAAAACAAUCGUCGCGAACGCUGCCAAAAAAUCGUCGCCAAAGCGGUCGUCGCUAAGCCUGCGACGAAUCUAUUUUUUCGUCGCAACAUAUGGCGACGAAUGCAUUUUUCGUCGUAAUAAUUCGUUUUUCUGGGUUAUUCGUUUUGUAGCAAAUAGCGACGAAAACAUAUUUCGUCGCAACUAUUUAUCCCUCAAUUCGCU
RNAcentral lists this long non-coding RNA (281 nucleotides) under Erythranthe guttata (spotted monkey flower). Its description in RNAcentral is "long non-coding RNA (EGUT_LNC000059)". Lineage: Eukaryota; Viridiplantae; Streptophyta; Magnoliopsida; Lamiales; Phrymaceae. The record is from RNAcentral.